UUCCUGGUGGCGAGCGGCGGACGGGUGAGUAAUGCAUAGAAAUCUGCCCGGUAGUGGGGGAUAACCUGGGGAAACCCAGGCUAAUACCGCAUACGCCCUACGGGAGAAAGCAGGGGCUCUUCGGACCUUGCGCUAUCGGAUGAGUCUAUGUCGGAUUAGCUUGUUGGUGAGGUAAUGGCUCACCAAGGCGACGAUCCGUAGCUGGUCUGAGAGGAUGAUCAGCCACAUCGGGACUGAGACACGGCCCGAACUCCUACGGGAGGCAGCAGUGGGGAAUAUUGGACAAUGGGCGAAAGCCUGAUCCAGCCAUGCCGCGUGUGUGAAGAAGGCCUUCGGGUUGUAAAGCACUUUCAGUGGGGAAGAAAGCCUUGGGGCUAAUACCCUCGAGGAAGGACAUCACCCACAGAAGAAGCACCGGCUAACUCCGUGCCAGCAGCCGCGGUAAUACGGAGGGUGCGAGCGUUAAUCGGAAUUACUGGGCGUAAAGCGCGCGUAGGCGGUCUGAUAAGCCGGUUGUGAAAGCCCCGGGCUCAACCUGGGAACGGCAUCCGGAACUGUCAGGCUAGAGUGCAGGAGAGGAAGGUAGAAUUCCCGGUGUAGCGGUGAAAUGCGUAGAGAUCGGGAGGAAUACCAGUGGCGAAGGCGGCCUUCUGGACUGACACUGACGCUGAGGUGCGAAAGCGUGGGUAGCAAACAGGAUUAGAUACCCUGGUAGUCCACGCCGUAAACGAUGUCGACUAGCCGUUGGGCUCCUUGAGAGCUUUGUGGCGCAGUUAACGCGGUAAGUCGACCGCCUGGGG
Molecule: ribosomal RNA, 800 nt
Filed under: uncultured bacterium
Lineage: Bacteria
Description: bacterial SSU rRNA
Rfam family: Bacterial small subunit ribosomal RNA
Source: RNAcentral